This is a non-coding RNA of Meleagris gallopavo (turkey), 2466 nucleotides long. The record is from RefSeq and is a predicted model, not a curated record. Lineage: Eukaryota; Metazoa; Chordata; Aves; Galliformes; Phasianidae.
AGUGCACUCAUAUAACAUGGGAGUCCACUGCAGACCGUGGCUGUUAGCACAGAACUCGUCCUGCAGAACCUUUACUCAGGCCUACGGGAAGCAAAGCGUGGAUGUAGAGCACAUAAUGCAGUGCUGAGCAAAGUGAAUAUGUGAAAUGGAAGGAGCAGCCGUGCGUGGUGGCAUGGAAAGAGCAGUGGGGACGGACAGAGAGCCCAUCAGUCACACUUGCUAGUGAGAAGGCUUUUCUACAGCUAGCAGGACUUGAAGCACCAUUUGGUCUACGAGGCAAGAAAAUCCCUGCAAAGCAAACCGUGCUGCCUUAGCAGCCAAACACAAUGACAGCCUCAGUCAGCACAGAAGCUCUUUAAUUCCAGUGCAGGGGCUCAGCACCAGCAGAACCAGCAGCACCUGGGCCAACGAGGCUCUCAGCCAUCCAUCCCCACUUGUGCUCCCCUCCCAGAUGGGGUCAAUUUGGCACUGAUGGCUGGGAGCCCACGGCAUCCAACCUGCUGGGCAGGCACUGCAGCUUGGUUGGGUUGGAGGUGAUUUAAACGCAUGGGAAGAGCCAGGGCUGCCUGUUUGUGCCUCCUGGAGCUGCUCAUCCUCUGCAAGCACUGAUGUUAGGGCUCUGCCUCGCUGUACUUAAAGCUUAUGGCUCACUACGCUUCGGAUUUGUCUCUCCAGCACUGGUUGCUCUGAAAUUUUCUUCCUGUGGGCCACAGAUGUUAAUUCCAGCUGUAUCCAAUCUAAGAGAGCGAGUCGGUGAUUUACAGAUAGGAAAAGGUGUUUCAGCUGGAAGCAGUCCAGGACCAGAGACCUCAGCCUCCUCACCCUGCUGGUUUCCAUCGGCAUCCCCUUGUCCUUGAGCUCGCCGUGGCCCAGCCCUCCCCACGCUGCUCCCCCCGACCUGCCUUUCAGCUGCGUUUCCCUCUUCCAUCCUCACUUCUCAUUCUAUUGCUUUGCUUUUGCGAUGCGCUCGGCUUCCUCGCUGCCAGCAGUGCUGUUUGUUUGAAUGGCUGAGAGCAGCAGGCGAUGCCCAGCGCCGUGCGUUGGCUGCGUGGCACCGACCCCAGCUCCCGCUGUUGCCCAUUGACCCACAUGGCACUUUGCUUCUAGGUUGAGGCCAAUUAUUCCCGUUGCCAUGGCGAUCCAGAAAUGGAGCUUUCCCACAUCGCAGAGCUCGGGUUUGGGCAAAGCUGGAGGUGCUGGGGUGGCUGUGGGCUCUUUAUUGCCCCUUUCCUCCCUCCUGGUGUGGGGAUGUGCGGAGCGGCUGUGGGACCACAUGAGUUCCCCACCCGAGCUGAGUCUGGGAAGUCAUAAUCUUAAUAUGAACAUCUUUAAAUAUCCCCACUAAUGGGCUCAUUCUUUAAUUUCCUGAAGCAAUGACAGCUUCAACAGACCCUACAUCAAAGCUAAGAUGGGAUCUGUCACUGAGUGGCUGAAUUAUAUUUCAUCCUUUAUUUUUAUCAGCUCCGCUGACUUAUUUAUUACAUUUAGAGUCUAGGCUAGCUUUUGUCUGGCCUGCGCUUCACUGCUGCUUGUGGAGAAAAAGCAAUAGUUUAUAAUGCCAUUUUCACAGCGUCCCCAUAAUUUGGGGCCCCGUCUGAGGCUUCAUUUUGAAUGAAACUCUACAGAUAAAACUGUUAUUCACGGCGAUGCCUGUGAAGUCCUUGGCAGACCCCGGGGAACACUGCCUGCUUGUAAAGGGCUUUCCCUCAGAUUUAUUUUUGUAGAACAAAGGGCAAUUUUCCCAUCUUCCCAGCAGCAGCCUACGUGGCAGAUGCUGCUCAGGGUUGCUAUCUUUCAGUGUAUUUGGGGGUUGUUUGUUAGACUGAAGACAAAUCCCAGGCUGUGUGGGCUUUGGGCUCAAGCUCUGGGAGUUGCCUCUGGAGUUUGCUGGCAGGUGGAUGUGGGGUCACCCCAUUGCCAGCCAGGAUGCUGAGAGCAAACACACAGUGGUGACCUCCAGCAGGGACAGGGAAAUUUCCGAGCAGAGACAGAGAGCAAUGAACCAUCCCCUCCCAGAGCGGCGUUGGGGAGUGGAGUCAGAGUGGUGAACAGCUUCCAGAGCAUCUCCUGAGACCCAGCGAGUGCCAGAGUUAAUAUAUUUAAUAUAUUUCGUGUGGACUCUGCCAGUCAUUAGGAAUGUGCUUGUUCUGUCAUUGCUCCGAGGCAGUCACGGUGAAGCAUUUGUCCUCUGAGUGCACGGGGAGAAAUUACAGUGCCCUGAGCUGAAUUGGUCAGCCAAAAAUAAUGUACGGCUUUAUCCUGGGAAGGAAAUUGGACAUUGAUUGGAGGACAGAAGUUCGGAGCAAGAGUUAAAGCAAAGUGACAUUUCCAUACAUUAGGGAAGCGGGUGAAGUCGGCCUUAUGCAGCGUAAAUCUCCGAGCUCUGGUGGCAUGGCUUUUGCCAACAGCCUCCUCCCAGCCCCAGCUCAGGGCGUUGCUGCUGCCCUGGGGCUCGUACCAACUGGC